GGGCCGGUAGUAUAACGGCAGUACGCUUGCCUGAGACGCAGGAGAUACGGGAUCAACCCCCGUCCGGUCCA
RNAcentral lists this transfer RNA (71 nucleotides) under Nitrososphaerota archaeon. RNAcentral's name for it is "Thaumarchaeota archaeon tRNA-Leu". It matches the Rfam family "tRNA". Rfam says of the family: Transfer RNA (tRNA) molecules are approximately 80 nucleotides in length. Their secondary structure includes four short double-helical elements and three loops (D, anti-codon, and T loops). Further hydrogen bonds mediate the characteristic L-shaped molecular structure. tRNAs have two regions of fundamental functional importance: the anti-codon, which is responsible for specific mRNA codon recognition, and the 3' end, to which the tRNAs corresponding amino acid is attached (by aminoacyl-tRNA synthetases). tRNAs cope with the degeneracy of the genetic code in two manners: having more than one tRNA (with a specific anti-codon) for a particular amino acid; and 'wobble' base-pairing, i.e. permitting non-standard base-pairing at the 3rd anti-codon position. The record is from RNAcentral. Lineage: Archaea; Thermoproteati; Nitrososphaerota.